AGGGUUAUAUGAUCAAGUAAUUAAGAGCACAAGGCGGAUGCCUUGGCAGCUGAAGGCGAUGAAGGACGUAGUAACUUUGCGAUAAGCUUUCGGGGAAGUGGUAAACAAACCUUUGAUCCGGAGAUU
Molecule: ribosomal RNA, 126 nt
Filed under: uncultured SAR86 cluster bacterium
Lineage: Bacteria; Pseudomonadati; Pseudomonadota; Gammaproteobacteria
Description: partial 23S ribosomal RNA
Rfam family: Bacterial large subunit ribosomal RNA
Source: RNAcentral